Molecule: ribosomal RNA, 253 nt
Filed under: uncultured bacterium
Lineage: Bacteria
Description: partial 16S ribosomal RNA
Rfam family: Bacterial small subunit ribosomal RNA
Source: RNAcentral
UACGAAGGGGGCUAGCGUUGCUCGGAAUCACUGGGCGUAAAGGGUGCGUAGGCGGGUUCUUAAGUCAGAGGUGAAAUCCUGGAGCUCAACUCCAGAACUGCCUUUGAUACUGAGAGUCUUGAGUUCGGGAGAGGUGAGUGGAACUGCGAGUGUAGAGGUGAAAUUCGCAGAUAUUCGCAAGAACACCAGUGGCGAAGGCGGCUCACUGGCCCGAUACUGACGCUGAAGCACGAAAGCGUGGGGAGCAAACAGG